CCUACGGGAGGCAGCAGUGAGGAAUAUUGGUCAAUGGGCGAGAGCCUGAACCAGCCAAGUCGCGUGAGGGAGUACUGCCCUAUGGGUUGUAAACCUCUUUUGUCGGGGAGCAAAAGCCGGACGUGUCCGGCUGUGAGAGUACCCGAAGAAAAAGCAUCGGCUCAAUCCGUGCCAGCAGCCGCGGUAAUACGGAGGAUGCGAACGUUAUCCGGAUUUAUUGGGGUAAAAGGGUGCGCAGGCGGAUGUUUAAGGCAGCGGUCAAAUCGUGGGGCUCAACCCCGUCCAGCCGUUGAAACUGGGGAUCUAGAGUGUGCGAGAGGUAUGCGGAAUGCGUGGUGUAGCGGUGAAAUGCAUAGAUAUCACGCAGAACCCCGAUUGCGAAGGCAGCAUACCGGUGCACAACUGACGCUCAGGCACGAAAGCGUGGGUAUCGAACAGGAUUAGAUACCCUGGUAGUC
Molecule: ribosomal RNA, 458 nt
Filed under: uncultured bacterium
Lineage: Bacteria
Description: partial 16S ribosomal RNA
Rfam family: Bacterial small subunit ribosomal RNA
Source: RNAcentral